This 506-nucleotide ribosomal RNA is filed under the name uncultured bacterium. RNAcentral describes it as "partial 16S ribosomal RNA". It matches the Rfam family "Bacterial small subunit ribosomal RNA", at positions 28 to 523 of the family's 1533-position model. The record is from RNAcentral.
GAUGAACGCUAGCGGCAGGCCUAACACAUGCAAGUCGAGGGGCAGCACAUAAAGUGGUUUACUACUUUUGGUGGCGACCGGCGGACGGGUGCGUAACGCGUAUGCAACCUGCCUCCAACAGGGGGAUAACGGAGAGAAAUUUCCACUAAUACCCCAUAAUAUCAGAAUCGGCAUCGGUUUUGGUUGAAAACUCCGGUGGUUGGAGAUGGGCAUGCGUUGUAUUAGAUAGUUGGUGAGGUAACGGCUCACCAAGUCAACGAUACAUAGGGGGACUGAGGGGUUCGCCCCCCACACUGGUACUGAGACACGGACGAGACUCCUACGGGAGGCAGCAGUGGGGAAUAUUGGUCGAUGGGGGCAACCCUGAACCAGCCAUGCCGCGUGCAGGAAGACGGCUCUAUGAGUUGUAAACUGCUUUUACAAGGGGAUAAAUCGGUGUACGUGUACACCGUUGAAGGUACCUUGGGAAUAAGGAUCGGCUAACUCCGUGCCAGCCGCCGCCGUAA